GAUGAAGAACGUAGCGAAAUGCGAUAAGUAAUGUGAAUUGCAGAAUUCAGUGAAACAUCGAAUCUUUGAACGCACAUUGCGCCCGCUAGUAUUCUGGCGGGCAUGCCUGUCCGAGCGUCAUUUCAACCCUCAAGCCCCCGGGCUUGGUGUUGGGGAUCGGCGAGCCUCCGCGCCCGCCGUCCCCUAAAUCUAGUGGCGGUCUCGCUGUAGCUUCCUCUGCGUAGUAGCACACCUCGCACUGGGAAACAGCGCGGCCACGCCGUUAAACCCCCAACUUCUGAACGUUUGACCUCGGAUCAGGUAGGAAUACCCGCUGAACUUAAGCAUAUCAAUAAGCGGAGGA
This 343-nucleotide unclassified non-coding RNA is filed under the name soil metagenome. RNAcentral describes it as "partial contains 5.8S ribosomal RNA, internal transcribed spacer 2, and large subunit ribosomal RNA". The stretch from base 1 to 120 matches the Rfam family "5.8S ribosomal RNA", at positions 35 to 154 of the family's 154-position model. The record is from RNAcentral.